Molecule: transfer RNA, 51 nt
Filed under: Mammuthus primigenius (woolly mammoth)
Lineage: Eukaryota; Metazoa; Chordata; Mammalia; Proboscidea; Elephantidae
Description: partial tRNA-Pro
Source: RNAcentral
AAGAAUUUCAGUUUUGGGUAUUGAUAGCGGGGUAAAUGGACCUCUUCCCUG